GACGAACGCUGGCGGCGUGCUUAACACAUGCAAGUCGAGCGAUGGAGUUCCUUCGGGAAUGGAUUAGCGGCGGACGGGUGAGUAACACGUGGGUAACCUGCCUCAUAGAGGGGAAUAGCCUUUCGAAAGGAAGAUUAAUACCGCAUAAGAUUGUAGUAUCGCAUGAUACAGCAAUUAAAGGAGUAAUCCGCUAUGAGAUGGACCCGCGUCGCAUUAGCUAGUUGGUGAGGUAACGGCUCACCAAGGCGACGAUGCGUAGCCGACCUGAGAGGGUGAUCGGCCACAUUGGGACUGAGACACGGCCCAGACUCCUACGGGAGGCAGCAGUGGGGAAUAUUGCACAAUGGGGGAAACCCUGAUGCAGCAACGCCGCGUGAGUGAUGACGGUCUUCGGAUUGUAAAACUCUGUCUUCAGGGACGAUAAUGACGGUACCUGAGGAGGAAGCCACGGCUAACUACGUGCCAGCAGCCGCAGUAA
RNAcentral lists this ribosomal RNA (478 nucleotides) under uncultured bacterium. RNAcentral's name for it is "partial 16S ribosomal RNA". It matches the Rfam family "Bacterial small subunit ribosomal RNA", at positions 28 to 523 of the family's 1533-position model. The record is from RNAcentral.